Molecule: microRNA precursor, 61 nt
Filed under: Microcaecilia unicolor
Lineage: Eukaryota; Metazoa; Chordata; Amphibia; Gymnophiona; Siphonopidae
Description: Mun-Mir-26-P1_pre stem-loop
Source: RNAcentral
UUCAAGUAAUCCAGGAUAGACUGUGUACAUUGUAGUUGGCCUAUUCUUGAUUACUUGCAUU